GCAGGUGUUUUACUUAAGGGAAGACGCAGAAUCAAGUUGGCAUGUUGUUAUGCAAGUUCCUUCAAGAAGAUAUAAUAAAGAUUUGGAUGAUGGAAUUGCAGACAUUGGACCAUUACCAGCAAAUGUGGACAUGGAUGUUCACAUGGAUGAAUCUGAAAAUGCCCGAACUGAUUGUGAAGGCAUAUUUGUCUGAAAUGGAGUCUGUUUGUCAUUUACAUUGUUGUUGUUUUAUUUGCUAUGUCUGAUGACUACUUGGUGAGUUGACAUGGGACCAAAGAAAGUAACAAACCGUGGAGGGAGAAAAAAGAAGAAAGAUUCUGAAGAGCCAGAAUUCUUGGG
Molecule: long non-coding RNA, 339 nt
Organism: Arabidopsis lyrata subsp. lyrata
Lineage: Eukaryota; Viridiplantae; Streptophyta; Magnoliopsida; Brassicales; Brassicaceae
Exons: 2
Source: RefSeq, a predicted model, not a curated record